RNAcentral lists this unclassified non-coding RNA (339 nucleotides) under soil metagenome. RNAcentral describes it as "partial contains 5.8S ribosomal RNA, internal transcribed spacer 2, and large subunit ribosomal RNA". The stretch from base 1 to 120 matches the Rfam family "5.8S ribosomal RNA", at positions 35 to 154 of the family's 154-position model. The record is from RNAcentral.
GAUGAAGAACGCAGCGAAACGCGAUACGUAGUGUGAAUUGCAGAAUUCAGUGAAUCAUCGAAUCUUUGAACGCACAUUGCACCUCUCGGUAUUCCGGGAGGUAUGCCUGUUCGAGCGUCAUUUGUACCCUCAAGCUCUGCUUGGUGUUGGGUGUUUGUUCCGCCUCUGUGUGUGAACUCGCCUCAAAACAAUUGGCAGCCGGCGUACUUGUUUCGGAGCGCAGCACAUUUUGCGAUCCAGAUCAACGUACAGCGGCAUCCAAGAAGCCUUAUUUAACGCUCUUGACCUCGGAUCAGGUAGGGAUACCCGCUGAACUUAAGCAUAUCAAUAAGCGGAGGA